Equus caballus (horse) is the source of this 7131-nucleotide long non-coding RNA. RefSeq lists it as uncharacterized. The record is from RefSeq and is a predicted model, not a curated record. NCBI's taxonomy places the organism in Eukaryota, Metazoa, Chordata, Mammalia, Perissodactyla, Equidae.
GAGAUGUCAGCUUUCUCCUCCCUGGGACGACCCAUAAAGGAUCAGAGAAAGUCACGCUGGAAAAGGUCUGUAAGGACCCCCAUUUCAACCCCUCAAUUUACAAAGAAGGCAAAUGAAAUCCUGGAGAAAUAGACUAUUUUCAGGUAAUGUAGCAAUUUAGAACUGGAACGCAGGUCUCCUGUUUCCCAGUCCAGUGUCUUUUUACAUGUCACGCACACUUGUUAUAGCUGAGUUUGAUGUCAAGGGCACUCUGUGUCUAAAACUCCUUGCCAAGUGUUUUUUAUUUAAUUUACUCCACCAUGUGCUCACUCAUAAUUAUUAAGUUCCUACAAUUGUAGCAAACUGCAUGUCUCUUCCCCAAAUGCGCUUCCUGUACAGUAAGCCUGUUCUUCUCAUUCCUUCCAGACUUACUGUUAAUUCGCUCAUCAUCUCAAGUCUUAUUAUGCUCUUCUUCCUGGGGCACAAAUGAACUCAAGCACUGAACUGCUUCAUCAUUCCUGAUACUAAAAGUUUAAUUUCAGAAAUUCUCAGGCCAGGCCCAUUUCCUAAACUUCUGGCAGCAUCUACUAUAGGCAGGCUUCAUGGCACCCACGGGAUGGCCUCAUUCACCCUGUCAUCAUCCAUUCCCCAUGUCAACCCAGACUCACAUUCAGCUAAUGUUUAUUGAGCAGUCUCUGUGCUCGAUGCUUUAUAUGCAUGAUGUCAUCUGAUCCAGAACAUAUUUCAGCUGGGUAAAUAUUGUCCCCAUUUUCCCAGUGAGGGACCUGAGGCCCAGGAAGGUUAGAACACCCUGCCCAAUUAUACCUUGGAGUGGAUGAGCCAGGUUGACUGCCUCCUGGUUCACUGUGUUUUUCUGGUAUCUCAGGCUACUUUGUCCCUUAGAUUUGAUGGGAGAAGUCCUGCUGGAUGGUGAAAUUAUCAUUUUAUUUCAUUUUUGCUGGCAAUAGAUUUUGUUGUGACAUGUUGUCUGCCAGCAUCAGACGUCCAGUUAUGUCUCAUCCCAGUUCCACACAUCCUGUGGAUAAUUCACAUACCAGCCGUUAAAAUAAUGUCUUUCAAAUGAGGAUGGUGGGGCAUGACCUGUGAAUGUUUCCUGCUCUCAAAGCCAGGAGAUGAAGGUAGCUGACUGCAAGCUAAGAGAGAAUCCUCCUCAUCUGUGGCAAUUUCUUUGCUCAGGGGAGAUCAGCGAUCACUUAGCGCUGCCUCUGGAUGUGGCUCUGCGGUUCCUCUGACGACUCAGCUUUUCAAGGCAGGAUGAGAAAGCCUGUGGGGUCAGGGUGGACGAGGGAGGGUGGCUUGAACGUGGGGAGAAGGUGAGGGCACCCCGCCUGGAGAUGUGGCGGGAGUAAUGAUGUGUGAAUCCUGCAUGACUCAGCCCUCUGGGCAGGUAAUGAAAACCCAACAGACACAAGCUUGUUUAAGAAAAUAUGCAUCAUUGAUGUGGCUAUUUUGGGAGAUGAAAGAGAGCUUGAAAAGGAGAAACAUGUGAAAAGUAUUCAAGUUGAGUGAGUGUGAUAGAAAACCAAGAUUUCCCUUCAUAAUUGAACAGUAAAAAGCAAAUGUGUCCUGAUCUUUCAAGUCACAGGGUUGGAAGGAAGAAUGGGGUGUGGGGGACAGAUGUUGGCAGUUGUUUGCUCUCUGGAUGUACACAUUGUGGUUUGGGGACUGAGGGACUUUGGAAGGGAUUUGCUCCUUUAUUCCUUUAUUGUUUCUAAGAGAAACCAGGCCUCAAGUGGGGUUGGGAAGGAAGAUUCUUCACACCAGCCCCCUGGACAUGCCAAAGCUUCCCCUGUGACAAGAGCCUGUGCUGGCAGACAUCUGCAGUUACCUCACAGCUCAGUGAGGGCAGAAAUCCUCUUUCUGAUCACUUGCAGCAGAUUCCAUGUGGAACCGUGAUCAACCAGGCAGAAGAUGGGGUGCAGGAGAAAACAGGCCACACAGGGCUCUGUGGCCUUUGAUGCACAUGUGUCAGAUGGGGGGCUGACGUGUCCUUUCACCCUUAGUGGAGUCCCGAGGCACAGGAGGAUGAGGCGUGUUUGAGAAGAGAGGAUCUGAAUCCUGCCUGCUCUGUUCUCUCCUAAUUCUCACCGCUGCCUCCCGACUGGUCUCUUCCAGGCACCCGGGUCCAGCCUUACACCCCACGUAGAAAAGGCACCUCUAACACCUUGGUUUUUAUCUCGUUGUUUUUGUUUUUUCCUGAAUUUCUGAUCCUGAUCUGCUCCCAACCCUCCUGACUGCUAAUAUCAUCAAUUGUUCGUUUAGUCAAUACAUAUUUAAGAAGACCUCACUGGGACUCUGUUCUCUCAUCUGUGCUGCAUCCCUUACCUCCCUCUGACUCGUUUGCCUCCUUUUCUGAUGCUCAGCCCAUGGAGACACAGCUUGCUCAUCAUUUGGAUUUUUUUAUUGGUUAAGACCUCUAGGAAACAUCCCUCAAGCUCUACUGCCCUGGGACUCUUCCUCUGGCAGCCUCCAUGGGGAGCACUCCUCCCCCAGCUUGGGGUUGUCAAAUUCCUUUAGGAACCCACACAUUCACCCUGCAGCUCAUCUUACAAAAGCCCUGGUUGCUCUAAUCUUGUCCUCCCUCUGCCUAGAAGACAUCACUGACUCCAUUGAUCCAAAGCAGUAAUUCCGGAAGUGUCUUCUGAGGUACCUUAGUUGACAGUGAUUCUAAUACAAGACUCAAAGCUGUAUUUUUCUUUUAAAUAUAAAUAUUUAUUGAGUCUCUGUUAGGUGCCAUACCCUAACAGAUUCUGUGCACACAGUGAUGAGCAACUUAGACAUGUCCAAUGCCCUCAUGGUGUUUACCAUUUAUCAUGGAAGACAUCAAACAGUUACUACUGUGAAAAGUAUUUUGAAGAAAAAGUGAAGGGUGUUAUAGAAAUGAAAAAGGGGCAGUGGUUGUGAAAUCUAGUCUGAAUACUCAGGAAAGUUGAGCCCUGGAGCAUGAGCAGGAUUCAGUACGCUAGGAUGGGGACAAUAGUGCCAGGCAGCAGGAACCACUGUGUACGUCACCACCCUAGCACUGGAAAGAGCAGGACAUGUUUCAGUGACAGAAAGAAGGUGGUUUGGCUUGAAGACAAGUAGUGCUCUAAAAGGACAAUCCCUGAGUGACUUUGCAGCAUCAUCGGGAACGCUUCCUAAAAAUGUAAAUACCUGAUUCUCACCUCCAAUUGUUAAAUCAGGGAUGGAACUCUGAUAGAUUGAUUGCAAAAAUGGAUUUCCUGGGUCAAUAACCUUUGUAGUGUGACUUUGCAGCUUUUUCCAUGAAGAGAUGGAAAUCUCUUUCUCCACUCUUUGAAUCUGGACUGGCCUUAUCACCCACGUUGGCCAACAGAAUGAGGUGGAAGUGUUCUCAUGCCAAUUAGGAGCCCAAGAUUCAAGAAGUAGUGUGUUCUCUGCUCUUUCUCUUGGAACUCUGGCUCUAAUAUGUAAACAAAAGCAGGUGAGCCAGCUAGAGAACAAGGGACCAUAUGGAGGAGAGUCCAGUUGUCCCUCUGAGGCCAUCCUAGACCAGCCUACAGCAAGCCAGCUCCUUAACAUGUAAGUGAGCUCAGCCAAAAUCAACAGAACUGCUCACCUGACCCACACCUGGCAGCAGAUGCACUAGUAAGUCCAGGGGAGACCAGUGGUGUAAAACCAUAAUCAUUUGAACACUAACAACUGGUUGUAUGUUCAGCCACUCAGAGUGGGUGGUUUGUUACGCAGCAAAUAAAACCAAUACAGGAAUCAAGAAUAUGGACAAGGAUUUUUGAGAGCAGAAUAGGCAGAGGUCAGAUCUAGUAGGACUUUGUAGGGCAUGAAGAGGGUUUGGCAUUUUAUCCUAACAGUUAUGUGAAGCUUUCGAAAGGUUUUGAGCAUGGAAGUGACACAAUUAGGUUUGCGUCAUAGAAAGAUUAACUUGGCUACUUUGUGGAGAAUGAACUACAGGAGAAGAGGAUGAAUCAAGCUAGACUGAAUUCAACUUAAGUUUUGUUUUGUUUCACUUUUUUCUUUAAGUAGGUAAACUGAGAUCCAACUCUGCAUUAAGUAAUGGGAUUACAAGGAAUAAGACCCAUACCCUGUCCUCAAGUCUGGAGGGAGACUGAGAGUUAUGAUGUAUUUUAACAAGUACCAUAAUGGAGAUUCACUCAGGUAGUCAUGUUGGUGUGGAGAAGUAGCACCUAGACCAACCUGGGGGAAAAUCCAGGAUUCUGUCCAACUGGUGAUAGCUGAGAAUGCCCUGAAGAUGGGAACAUCAUUUCCUAGGAAGAGGAAGGAGCCUAAGUGAAAUACAGUGUUGCCAAAGUAUGAAGCACGAGGUGGGAAGCAGAGGAACUAGAUGGGCUAGGUGCGUAGAGUCCACGUCACAGAGUCUUCUUUGUGCCUAUUGAGGCUGUAGACAGGCAACAGUGCAACAGGAGCUGCAUGGCAGACGUUCCUGAUGCCUGAGACAUGAAUGGACUGGUAUAGAAGAAGCUCAGUUAAGAAGGGCAGGACCCUGCUCUGGGAGCCCUUAGGAUGAGUGUUGCCAUGGCCAUUUGACCUGACACAGCUGAGGCAGAGCUGUUUGCUACGUAGGAGGUUGGUGGACAAGACAGAGAAAUCAGCAAUCACCGGAAGUCUCCCUUGGUUUAUAGAUUUUGACCCAGGUUCCUACAGUAGCCCUCAGUUUCUCCUGAUUGUCUUCUGGAAGCCAGCAGUCAGCGGAGGCAAGAAGAGAACAUUUUUUGCUGUGGCACCUCCUCCUCCCCAGAGUGUUUGGCAUCUUGUGCUGCCAGUCUCCAGCUGUCUGUCUAGACGAAGCCCAGAUUGGACGUGUGAGGUAUAGAACACUGUGAUCCAGGCCUACUCACUCUUGGCCAACUGGAGGGUGAGCACUGGGGACAAAAUCUGUGCUGGAAAGAUUGGGGACAUCUUUUUCCUAUUAGCAGUUGGAUGCUCCCACGACCCAUGGAUGUCUCUGGCCACUGUACUGCCAUGUCUCCAAAUAUACACUGGACCCAAGGCUGCUUAGAGGAGCCCUCCGUCUCAUGCCUCUGCUGACCAUUUCUUGGGCAUCAGAACAAACAUCAUUUGAUCACAAGGGCAGAGAUCCCUGGGCAACCUCAAAACCUCUAAGGAUAGUAACUAUUUUUAAAGAUUAAAUUCCUGUCUGUGCAAGACCUAGACACUCAUAUUAUCCUCCCAUUAUUCUGUGAACGUCACACAACAACUCUGUGAAAGAGACAUUAUAACCCUAUUUUAAAGUGUUAAUUAGGAAACCAAGUAACUUGCCCAGAAUCUCCCAGCUACAGAUGCAAUGGAGCCAGGACUGCAACUCAGAACUGCUUGAGUCUGUGCCCCACAUUCUAUCUAUUCAACUACACUGCCUUUGCUGCCCAACCUCGUCAAUCACAGAUGAGGACAAAAGGACAAGAGAGAGAAAAUGAUUUGCUGAGACGUGUGGCAGAGCCUAGCUCUCUCACUCGAGGCUCUGGACUCUCAUUUCCUUCUCCCUCGGGGCACUCUCAUCUUCUCCUUGGUAUAUUUCCUGAGUCACUGCUCCAGGUCUGCCUCAUUCAACCUGGGAGGCAUGAAGCUGGCUGGAAAUCCCAGACAGCUGAGUCUGAUCCUCUCAGCAGACGCAGCUCCCAGGUCCCCUACUGGCCUAGAAGCAGGCAAGGGCCUCUGACAGAGAGCUGGUAUGAGGUGUGGGGUACCACAUGCAAACCCUGGACUUCACAUCAGACGUUCACACUGGAAGGACUCUGGAGGCAGUUAAGACCCUAAUGUUUAUUGUGAUCAUUUGAAUGAAGUUUUUGUCUUCCUUCAUGAGAAUUGCUUUCUUUUUUCCAUAACUAUUGAUCCUGUAUCUUGCCCUGGAGGGCAAGAUUAGUAGUAUUAGCUCAUAUCUGUCACUUUCAUUUUACCCAUAUCACUGUGGCUCCAUGGAGUGAGAGCUGUGCACUGUGGAAGACGCCUCUGUCUGUUCCUCCAAGCACCUACUACCAAGAAGCUCAUUUGCCAGGAUCAUAGAAUCAGGGCAGGACCAGCUGUGUAAUUUGUGGCACCUAAUGCAAAAUGAAAAUGUGAGGCCCUUCAUCAAAAAUUACUGAAAAUUUCAAGGUCUGAUAGUACAGCGUUACACCAAGCACAGAGCCCAUCUAAAGCUGGACACUCACGGAGCUGGCCCUGAGUGGGACUGUAGAAAUGUAGCAGAGAUGGAGAAGACAGGGCAGUUAGAGCUGGAAUAAGUUUAUCUGAGCAUUAGCAAUGCCAUCUAUGCAAUAGGGUGAUGACACUGACUGCCAAUUGUGCGUGAAUCAUGGGUAAUAUACAGAGACUACUGGGAAAUGUCAGGUGUUGAUUAAGAAGACACGCCCCUUUCCCUAAGAGAGAAUCUAGUUCAAAUCUCUCAUCUUGCAGAGAAGUAACCUGAAGCCCAGAGAAGAAGAAUGGCUUUCCACAUUUAGCCAGCUGCCUCGGAUGUUUCCUGCUUGACUAACGAGGCAGGGCCUUAGUGCUCAUCGGCAGAUGGUUUGGAGACUGAGUCAACCAUCUGUAAGAUUGGCCUCCACUUCCUGCCCAGCUGCUGGGUCCCAUGAUGGGAUCAUACUGAAAUGAACGUUAUCCUUCACCACAGGAUGCUGGGGAAGAGAACACCGGCUCAGAAGUACUUGACUACCUGCCCAAAGAUGGGGAAACCGAGCAACUGAGAGUGUAAGAAACUUGUCCGAAGUCAUGCAGCUACUAAGUGAGAAAGCAAGGAUCUGAACCCAGAAAGUCAGUCUCCAGAGUUCCUGCUUUUGGCCACUAUGUUCUUGUUAUGGACUGAAUGGUGUCCCCAACCCCAUUCGUAUGUUGAAGUCUUAAUCCCCCGUAGCUCAGAAUGUGACCCUAUUUAGAGAUAAGGUCUUUAAAGAGGUAAUUAAUAUGAUGCCAGUAGUGUGGACCCUAAUCUAAUAUGACUGGUAUCCUCAUAAAAAGAGGCAAUUUGGAUACAGAUAUGUGCACAUACAGAGGAAAGACCACGUGAGAACACAACCAGAAGGUGGCCAACUGCAACCUAAGGGGACAGGCCUCAGAAGAAACCAAAUUUUGCUGACAUGAUGAUCUCGGACCCCUAGCCUCCAGAACUUUGAGAAAAUAAAGUCCUGUUGUUUAAGGCACGCA